CUGUCCUGUGGUUAUUUAGAGAGUGCUACUUGAAAACACAAUAUACAGUCAUGUGUUUUUAGUGAUCAUUUAUUACUUUAGAAAAUGCCUAUAGUAGUAGGUGUUAGCUAACGCUAAAGUGGUAAUCAUAUUGCAAUAUAUCAAUGUAUCAGAUAAACACGUUGUACACCUAAAACUUACACAAUGUUAUAUGGCAACUAUAUCUCAGUAAAAAAAUUUUUAAAUGUAUAUGGAAAUAGAAAAUAUAGUACUGGAGAAAGCUCCUUUGUUGAAAGAAUCUUGCAGGAUUGUAUUCUCUUUGUCAAAUUUCAUUUAAAAUUAAAAAAGUGAUUUAGGGCAUCUUUUCUGACACAAAUUGAAUGAAUUAUAUCUAGAAUUGUAUUUCUAAUAAAAGGAAAUUUUUCAGAAAAGUAAAACCUGCCCACCUUUCGUUAGGACCAAGUUCUGGUCAGGAUGGUGUAACAGUUACAAGAAGUCUAAAUUCUCAGUGCCGUAAGACAACAAAGUUUGGUUUCUCCCUCUUGACAGUCUAAUUAAGAUGGGGGGUGCUUUGCUUCACACAAUCAUUUAGGGACUCAGGUUCUUGCCAUCCAGUGGCCCACUCUAUCCUCUCUCCAGAAGACUCAGUACCCUUGGCUGGUUCAUUUCUAUCCAGACAGAGAGGGGAGAGGACAAGGAAAUAGCAUGGCAGAUUGGCAGGAGUUUUUAGAGACCAGCAAAUAUCAUAGAAAUAGCGUGUAUCACUUCCAUCUACCCAGUUGUCUAUCUGUCCAGCCUGAACCCAGUUAUAUGGCUCCAUCUAACUGUGGGGUAGCUCAGAAAGGAGGUUUAGCUGGGUGCCAAGGAGAAGGUCAUACAGAUAGGUCUUGGUUUUAGCAAUCUGCCAAUGACACUUUAAAUGAGCAACCCAAAACACUCAAGACAGUGGACCUCUCCACAUCCUGCCAUUUCUCUUCAUGCUACUGCUCCCCCCACCUACUCUUGUCUUCCAGUGUUUACCAAAUUGUAGAAACUGUGGGAUGAGAGGGAACUGCACACCAAACUUAAAACUGAUGAAGAAAAUAAAAUUAUUUUUAUUAUUUAAGCAGAUAUUUAUAACUAACUGGCAUUGGUCUCUUUUAUCCUUUGCUUUGAACAUUGUCCUUCUCAGUAUUUAGCUUGCUUUUCCCUAUAUCGGAGGCUGACAUCUUUUAAAAAUGAGUUCCAGCCUACCAUGCAGCCUUGUGGAACCCUGAGGAGAUCCUGGUAUAUUGUUCUAUUGUGUUACUGCACAAAAACAGCCCUGGAAUUAGCAUUUAUUGAACAGCUACUAUGCAGUCAUGCUAAAGCCUUUGCAAGUGUUAAUCUCAUUUAAUCGUCAGAACAACUCCGUGAGUUAGAAUUAUCCCUAUUUGGAAGGAGAGGACACUGCUUUGAUUCAAAUCCAGACCUCUUUGACUCUAAAACCCGUGCACUUUCCACACCAGGUGGUCCCUUGACUGCCCUGCUCCUGGCCCACCCUGACUCCGCAGCCUUCCUUAAUGGCUGGAGGCCUUAUCCAAGGCUUAUCCUAUUUGACCGUGGAGACAGAAGUAACUGCUUAUCAAAACAGUCAGAUCUGCUGUGUGUAUAGAGACGAGCUGAGCCCAUAAUCAAACUAGGAUGCUCAAACCAGGGAUUAGAAAACGAACUCAAAAAGAGAUCUGUAAGUCAUAUAAACAUAAUGAGAAUGAGAUCACAGAUAUUCUGCAUAUAGUUUUUAAAAAAUUAGUUAAAAAUAUGAACAAGAAAAACGAAAUGAGUGCUUUUCCUCUAAAUAUUGGGUUCAUUUUCCAAUAUAUUUUUUCUCUCCUUUUUUCUCCUUUCUCUCUCUCUCAUACAUAUUCUCUAUCAUUGCUGACAAAGGAAACCAAAGGAAAAAAGAAAAGAAUAGAAAAGACUACUUUUUCCUUUCCCAUGGACUCCAAAUAAAGUGGACCUGGUAUCAAUUCCUACAACGAUUUGCUCUUUGCUUCCAUCUGCAUGUCUGAUCUAAUUACACUAAUAAAAUGAGAAGGCAAAGGGAGAUAUUAUACUAACAAGUGAAGUUUUUAACUUGCACAAGAAACAUUUCUAAUCCCUCUGCCCUCCACUCUCCUUUAAACAGUGAUUUCGCAUCCCUUGAUGCUCAGCAGGGGGAGUGGCAUUCGCCACCCCAGGCAAAGUGGAUCUGCAUGCCUCCACGUCAAAUUGGUCCACGUGUGAGUUAGCUUUGAAUUGUAGUGUGUUUCUUAUACUAAUAUAAUAUUGUUCUAGUGCUUGCCCCUGAUUAAAAAAAUACAUAAAUAAAUAAUUUAUAAUUUAAUUAAUAAGGUAUAAUAUGCAAAGCACAGUAAUUUCAAACAGCCUGUAAUGUCUCUAAUGUACUUUCAAUUUUUUAUUUUACAUAAGGGCUAUAUUCAUUAUGUGGUUAUGAUAAACAUACUAAUGAAUUUUAUUACAGGAACAAAUUUAAACAUGUAAAUGAGAUCAAAUAGUAUUAAAAUGCAAACGAUGGUGAAACUUAUUACAAACUAACCUUGCCAGCAUACACAGAAUGAUGUUAUUUUCAAACUUUGCAAGUUGUAUCCUUUAAACAAAGGCAAUGCCUUUUACAAUGUCCCUGAACAUAAGAAUUUGUGAACUGCAUGCCUUAUUCUCACAUGAACUCCUCAACCAAAAAAAAAAAAGUUAACUAGAAUCCAGGGUUUGCAUGUAACUUUGGAUGACAAUUAAAAUCCCUUUUCUUGUUCCAGUGAACAGUAAUCUGUGCAUAAUUACAUUCAAAUGAGAUAUUAGCAUUUUUUGUGCUUACUCUUUGUUAAUUGCAGAGUUCACUCACCAUGGUGAUGCUUUUGAUGGAAUCAGGCAACCUUAUUGACCUGAUGCCGUAAGGCGUGUUGGGAAAUUCUGCUGUAUUCUUCCUUUUUUUUUUUAUUUUGGCAUUUUGAGGAGUCCUGCUGCUUUUAUUACAUUCCUGACACUUUUGUUAAUAAAUCAUUGCAAAGUUAAUGAAAAUUGCAUUCAGGCAUAUCCAAAAUAAUUGUGUCCUUUGUCAUGCUAAUAAAUUGAAAGAUGUUGAUCCAAUGGGCGAAUGCAUGCCCAUUAUGGAGAAGUUUGUGAUCCAGGUGCCUGUUGCACUCACUUUUUUCCAUGGCAUAUCAUUCCACGUAAAACGUGAGAGAGGAAAACAAACCUCAAUAUGUUUUAUUUCAUACUUUGUACAGUGGGUCUUUAAUUAAGUCAGCAAAUGGGUGAAUUAUAUCUGCACGGAAAGAUAGAAGUAUUUGUAUUAUGGUUUAUGAAAGAUUGUUAAUAUCAAUAGGCAUCAGCAACAGUCUAAUAUUAGACUCACGAAAAUAUGAAAACCAUGUUUAACUGACCUUUCUCUCAUGCCUGGGGAUUUUUCCACUUUUAUAUAUGACCCACUUGAUUUAAAAAUGACAAUGAUAAUAAUUUAACAUUCGUUUCCCAAGGCUUCUCCUGUACUAAUUUAGGAGGAAAGUGAAGAAAUGCGAUUUAAAAAGAAAAUUUGUCUUUCUGGCAAAGCAUGAGAUCUUCUCAUUCACUAAGCCUUAAGUGUACAAGGGUGUGAGUGAAUGUGUUUGGAGGAUCAACAGAUUCACACUCACACAGUGAAGCAGGUUUGACUGUUCCAGGUAAGCAAGAGUGUUCAGUUCAGAAAAAUUGAAACUCAUAAUAGAUUCCAUAUAUAUUAUAUAUAUAUAUAUUUUUUUUUUUUCUCAAAUUUAUCUCGAGGAAGAACUCCAAGUAAUUGUUGUCUUGGGGAGUUCUUAAUUUAUGCACUAGCCCAUCAUGCUGAUUUUAGGUAGGUAUUUAUUCUGCUAUUCAAUCAAAAAGCAUAGUUUCCAUAACAACUGCCACAUCAGAUGAAACGUACAGCUUGGCAUUUGAAAUACAGGACUUCUUAGGAGAUAUGCUUCCUGACAUAUUGUGUUGAACUUGUGUUCCUUUCAUUCUCUUUUAAGCUAGCAAGAUCUGUGUUUCUAUAAAGGACCAUCGCAGUUUUGCAUAAUUAUUACAAUCCAUCUGCACAUUUCCAGGAUUUAUAUUAAAGUAAUUAAAGCCAUUUUGUAUUAGUGGGUGCUGUGUGGAACCGGCUUGGCUGCAGGAUUCUAAAAGUUCCCACUUGCCUGCUUGCUGUGCUGUAAUUUGGAGAACAGAAUGUUCCAUAAAUGAGAUUUGGGAAUACUACAUUUUUUUCUUUCUUUCCUUUCUUUGCAAAGUAACUUUUUUUCCUCCAGUGGAAAAUGGAAUAAAGGUUCACCUAGGGACUGGAAUUAAUGUAGUCCUUCUGCCUAGGGUUAAAAAAGAGCAAAAUCACAGCUAGCAACAUUGGGCAAACCCUCACAUAUUUCACUUUUUCUAUGGAGAAAUAAUAAACCUGUGUUUCUAAGGCAACUUUCUUCCAAAGAACAGCAAGCAAUUUAAUUUAUAUUCUCACUUUCUCCAGCAGCAUUUGUUCAAGGUAAACGAGGGCCAAUAUUGUUAACCCCAUUUUAUGGAUGGGAUGAUUGAGGCAGACAGAUCGAAGUUGCACAGAGCAGGUAAUGAGGUACAUCAUAGCAAGAGUAAUAAUUAAUACCUAUUAUAUCAAACCAACAGAAAGAACUAACUGAAAGUGCAUACUGCAGUUGCUGAGAAAAAAUCAUGUGAAUUCUGUGAACUUUCAAAGGGACAGUUUGGUCCACAUUCAACCACUUCUGACCUGGGAGAACCCUUGGCUUCUCCGUUGAGGAAGAUUAGCUCGAGCUAACAUCCACUGCCAAUCCUCCUCGUUUUGCUGAGGAAGAUUGGCCCUGAGCUGACAUCCGUGCCCAUCUUCCUCUAUUUUAUAUGUGUGACACCUGCCACAGCAUGGCUUGAUAAGCACUGCUUAGGUCCAUGCCUGGGAUCUGAACCGGUGAGCCCUGGGCCGCUGAAGUGGAGCACAUAAACUUAACCACUAUACCACUGGGCCGGCCCACCAGUCUAUCUCUUGAAGGGCUUUUUUUUAUUUUUGGUAUGUGUGUGUUUCAGGUAAGGAAGAACUCAGGUUUGACAAUACUAUGACUGUUAGGUAUAUGACCAUGGAAGGUAAACUUUUACUGCAUUUUUUGGUUUCUACUCACAUCCCAUAUCAUUAAACUUCUGCAACUGACAAGGUAUAGUGAACCAACCAGAAUGAGUAAAGGGGUAAAGGGAUUUUAUAACAAGGUUCAAGAAAGUGGACUUCUCUACAAACCCCAGAAUUUAAGCUGGAGAGAGUUCUCAAAGCUUGAAAGAAGACAUUUAGAGGAAGAGGAUCUGAGAGAUAUUUUGCACAGUAGCUAUUGAAAUUAUGUAACUUUACUCUAAAAGAUAGUGAAACAAAUUUAAAGAAGUUUUGAACUCAUUUUAUGGGUUUUCGAUCCCAUAAAGUUAGCAACUGGCAUUUAUCAGGAUUAGGGGUCAUUUUAAAUGGGGGGCCGAGUGUGGUGCUGGCUGCAGGUGUGGGGACAAGAACAAGCAGGGGCAUGUGGUGCAUAGACACUUUUGAUCCCUUGCCAGGCUGAUGCCGGAAGCAGAUUGCCAGGCUGACUAGACCACCAUGGGGCCCAGUAUGUAUUACAUUUCUGAUAUUUUCAACAGCCUGUCCACUGGAUUACAACCAGGUAGAUUUUCAAAAUAGUCCAUGCAGGAAUAUAUAUACACACAGUCCUAGAAGACAGUACCAAAAAUAUCUAUAUCUAUCCCAUGGUCUCUAAAGGUAAAAUACAGUACAAACAAAAGGUUUGCAAAAGUUUUGAUUGGGAGUGGAGGAAAUCCUGCUGCAUUCACAUGCUGGAGUGAAAAAAAGUUCUAAAUCUGAGCAGUGCCCGUUUUCAUUUUUGUUCUGGCAAUGUAAAAAAUAACUUGCCUUACGCACACCUCCCCUUCUUUUUUUUUUUUUCUUAAUAUAUAUGUUUUGCUCAUCCCAAACUGCCACUUUGGAAUGAUUGACCUGUUUGAUGGUUCCGUGCUUCAGCUCAAGCUUUAUUGCCCACGGUCUACUUUAUGAUGUGCUGGUGAAACUGAGCCUUUUCUUGCACGGCAAAUCAUAAAAGUCCAAAUUAUUUUGGGAUAAAUAGAACCACUGACUAACAAAAAUUCCUAUCCAAGAUUUUUUUAAAUCUAAAUGAACACUCAAUAAUUUUCAGUUUUUUAAAAAAUAUCUUUUCAGCAUAUCUAUCUUAGGCUGAGGUUAUUCAGUCUUUGUGAAGGACCAAUGUUAGGGCUGGGGAACUACUAAAGAGGUGAAGUAUAUUUAGCUGAGUAGCAAUAUUAUAGAACUGCAGUUGGAAGGCCUGGGUCGUGAUCUCUUUUCUGCCACCAAUUUUCAAAUUCAC
This is a long non-coding RNA of Equus caballus (horse), 6365 nucleotides long. NCBI's taxonomy places the organism in Eukaryota, Metazoa, Chordata, Mammalia, Perissodactyla, Equidae. The record is from Ensembl.